UAAAUACUCCCUCCGUCACAUAUUAAUUGACGCUCAAGCGGAUGUAUCUAAACGUAUUUCAGUGCUAGAUACAUCCGUUUUAGCGUCAAUUAAUAUGGGACAGAGGAAGUAUCAU
Molecule: non-coding RNA, 115 nt
Organism: Triticum aestivum (bread wheat)
Lineage: Eukaryota; Viridiplantae; Streptophyta; Magnoliopsida; Poales; Poaceae
Source: Rfam